Molecule: ribosomal RNA, 253 nt
Filed under: uncultured bacterium
Lineage: Bacteria
Description: partial 16S ribosomal RNA
Rfam family: Bacterial small subunit ribosomal RNA
Source: RNAcentral
UACGUAGGUGACCAGCGUUGUCCGGAUUUACUGGGCGUAAAGAGCGCGCAGGCGGUCGUUCAAGUCGAGUGUGAAAGCCCCCGGCUCAACUGGGGAGGGUCACUCGAUACUGAUCGACUUGAAGGCAGGAGAGGGAAGCGGAAUUCCCGGUGUAGUGGUGAAAUGCGUAGAUAUCGGGAGGAACACCAGUGGCGAAGGCGGCUUCCUGGCCUGUCCUUGACGCUGAGGCGCGAAAGCUAGGGGAGCAAACGGG